This 490-nucleotide long non-coding RNA is filed under the name Homo sapiens (human). RNAcentral describes it as "non-protein coding lnc-STARD13-2:11". Lineage: Eukaryota; Metazoa; Chordata; Mammalia; Primates; Hominidae. The record is from RNAcentral.
GCUCUUCUCGGGGAGUGGAGUGCUAUGACAGAUGAGACUUUCAUGCAAGAAAAUAAAUCCUGCACAUUUGAUGUACUGCUUUAAACUUAAAGACCUCUUUGGACCCGAAAUUGUAAGGUUAACCACCUGGGACGGUAAACUACCGAAGUCUGCUUCUGCUUCCAAAGGAGAACCGCAGUGAAAGUGGUGGACAUGUCCUACCAUCUGUAAGCUCAAGAUCCUCUAGAGAACUGCAGGAUUCAGGGUGCUCUACUGACAGUACCUGGGGCAGCCGGAUCAGGAAAGAGUUUGUCUAGCCACAGUUGUCCCUUGCAGUCAGCUACAGAAGACCCAGUGCUGUGAGAAAAUCAGACAGAAGUAUUUCCAAGACUUUCCAUGUCUGACUAACCAAGGUAAAAUCAGGAACUAACCUAACAGCUUCUGCACCAUGGCAGAAGAGUUUGCAGAAAUGUACCUGUUUUACUUUUCAAUAGAUUAUAUUUUAACACUU